RNAcentral lists this ribosomal RNA (460 nucleotides) under uncultured bacterium. Its description in RNAcentral is "partial 16S ribosomal RNA". It matches the Rfam family "Bacterial small subunit ribosomal RNA", at positions 338 to 795 of the family's 1533-position model. The record is from RNAcentral.
CCUACGGGAGGCAGCAGUGAGGAAUAUUGGUCAAUGGACGAGAGUCUGAACCAGCCAAGUAGCGUGAAGGAUGACUGCCCUAUGGGUUGUAAACUUCUUUUAUAAAGGAAUAAAACGAGGCACGUGUGCCUUUUUGCAUGUACUUUAUGAAUAAGGAUCGGCUAACUCCGUGCCAGCAGCCGCGGUAAUACGGAGGAGCCGAGCGUUAUCCGGAUUUAUUGGGUUUAAAGGGAGCGUAGAUGGGUUGUUAAGUCAGUUGUGAAAGUUUGCGGCUCAACCGUAAAACGGCCAUUGAUACUGGCAGUCUUGAGUGCGGUUGAGGUAAGCGGAAUUCGUGGUGUAGCGGUGAAAUGCUUAGAUAUCACGAAGAACCCCGAUUGCGAAGGCAGCUUACUAAACUGUUACUGACAUUGAGGCUCGAAAGUGUGGGUAUCGAACAGGAUUAGAUACCCCAGUAGUC